RNAcentral lists this long non-coding RNA (1789 nucleotides) under Gallus gallus (chicken). Lineage: Eukaryota; Metazoa; Chordata; Aves; Galliformes; Phasianidae. The record is from RNAcentral.
GGGGGGGGCGGGUAAGGGGGAAAGGGUGAAAAACCUUAGUAAAGCAUAAACAAACCAAGAAAUUAAGAGAAACCCAAAAGAAUACAUAGUUCAUAUACCGUUUUAUAUGAAUGUGUGCAACACUUAUUAACCAUGGUGAAAGGCUAAUUGUGCCCUCCGGUCACUACAUGCACAGCCUGAUCGAUGCUGUUAAUGAAUUACCUGUGUUAACUUACAAUGCAACUACAGCGUGACCAAGAGCGCGCCGUCCUGGCCCGGGGGUCGGCUCUGGGCGCACGGCGGUGCUUCACAGGAUGGUACACUACGCAUGGGACAGGUCGGGAGGUGGGGGGGCGAGUGUGCGCGCGCGCACGUGCUUGCUUGUGGGGGUGUGCGCGCGUGCGUGCGAGAGACAGUGUGUGCUAUAACAUUCGUGUCAGUCUUUCUUGAACGCUGCAGUUCCUGAUCCUGGGACAGGCGCUGGGCUUCACGCUUCCGAAAGACUGGAGGAAGGGACAAAAGGCAAGAGGCGGGUCGGUAUGUGUGCCAGCAGCAGGUAUCGUGCCCUCUCCUUUCAAGAAGGAAGCUGAAGUGGCAAGACAUUCAAUGAGACUGCCUGAUCUCCAGCCAGCACAACCACCCCAAGAGCAGUAUGGCACAAGUGGUAGGUGUCAGACCACAUCUCACCAUGACUGUGCUAGGCACCUCCAAAGGGCAUGGAGUCAUCAAUCUGAAUCUCUACAAUCUGAAGCUCCAACACGCAAACGCCAAUUUCGGCACCAAGUAACAAGGAUGAUACUGCCUUGGUUGUAACUGGACUUGGGUCACAGGUAACACUACCUGAACAACCUCCAGUACAAAUCUCAGCUACUAGGUUUUGGGGGCUAUAUUUUCACAGAUGCUGAGAGAGAUGUGGGUGCCAAAAACCCUCCACUGUUUUGACAAUUUCACUUGAUAGCAAGAAGACAUUUCAGCCACAUUGUUGCCUUUUCUACUUCAUGUCUGUAGACAGAUGUUCCAGCAGAAAACUUCGUAGCUAGAGUGCUCAAGGCUUGCCUGUGACCAGUGAUGCCAACAAUCUGUUGUUGCAGACAGUGUGACACUGCAAAGUCUCACAUUGCCACAGAGUGUCCCUUUUGAUGACGGACCUUGGUGUCAUUUGCACUCAGAAGGUUUGGGGAAGGCCAGAGAAGGUCUGGCUGCCCUCCAAAGGACAAUGCAGUAACAAUAGGCACGAUGGUCAGACUGACGGAAUAUGCAGCUGGAAACCAAUAAUACUAAGCUGCUGGUAGAUCCUACACCUUCUCUUUGCAACAUUAUCCAGCGACUGAUCCAGAGGUGGUUUUGUUGUACUCGAUCCCAUGUUUGCAGCCUGAAAGUCUUGUUGCAGAAGACAUCUCCCAGCUAACCUCAAUCACGGAUUCCUCUCUUCCAUGCAGGCUGCAACUCUCUAAUACGUAGCUGGCAAAGUUUCACAGCACUUGCAAGCACAUGAUAAUGUUUUGGUGUAACCAAGUCUCUUGUAAGAUGAGUGACAGGCUACACAUGAAUGCACGAACGUCUUUCUGAUCUCUGGUCUGCUCAUUAACUCUUGGCCCUGAUUAUAUAUGAUUGUUUAUGCACUUAAGUCAUUACAGUACCAUAAUAUUCAACUUCUGUAUUUUAAAACAAUGGGGUGCAUAUCAAGCUAUUGCAUACGUUGAUUUUAUAAGGCACUUUUAGCUAUCAAAUAUCUUAGAAGUACUUUGAACACAUUUAUAAAAGUGUGUAUUUUACAAUGUGUGUCUUCUUCCUCUCUUUUUUGUUUUCU